RNAcentral lists this ribosomal RNA (523 nucleotides) under uncultured bacterium. RNAcentral's name for it is "bacterial SSU rRNA". It matches the Rfam family "Bacterial small subunit ribosomal RNA", at positions 272 to 788 of the family's 1533-position model. The record is from RNAcentral.
GGCUUAGACGGGUAGCUGGUCUGAGAGGACGACCAGCCACACUGGAACUGAGACACGGUCCAGACACCUACGGGUGGCAGCAGUCGAGGAUUUUUCUCAAUGGGGGAAACCCUGAAGGAGCGACGCCGCGUGAGGGAUGAAGGUCUUCGGAUUGUAAACCUCUGUCAUCUGGGAACAAAGUGCUCCACCCAACACGUGGAUUAUUGAUAGUACCGGAAGAGGAAGCAGUGGCUAACUCUGUGCCAGCAGCCGCGGUAAUACAGAGACUGCAAGCGUUGUUCGGAUUCAUUGGGCGUAAAGGGUGCGCAGGCGGUGUGUUAAGUCGGAUGUGAAAUCUCACAGCCUAACUGUGAUAGGUCAUUCGAAACUGGCAUGCUAGAGGACUGGAGAGGAGACUGGAAUAGUCGGUGUAGCGGUGAAAUGCGUAGAGAUCGACUAGAACACCGGUGGCGAAGGCGGGUCUCUGGACAGUUCCUGACGCUCAGGCACGAAAGCCAGGGGAGCAAACGGGAUUAGAUACCCC